This 377-nucleotide unclassified non-coding RNA is filed under the name uncultured Thermoactinomycetaceae bacterium. Its description in RNAcentral is "contains 16S-23S intergenic spacer region". The record is from RNAcentral. Lineage: Bacteria; Bacillati; Bacillota; Bacilli; Caryophanales; Thermoactinomycetaceae.
UCCGGCUUUCACCGGCUGUCUCCUUAGAGAGCCCAGCUUUACCUGCUGGCAACUAAGGAUAAGGGUUGCGCUCGUUGCGGGACUGAACCCAACAUCUCACGACACGAGCUGACGACAACCAUGCACCACCUGUCACCGCUGCCCCGAAGGGAACCUCUAUCUCUAGAGGGAUCAGCGGGAUGUCAAGCCUUGGUAAGGUUCUUCGCGUUGCUUCGAAUUAAACCACAUGCUCCACCGCUUGUGCGGGCCCCCGUCAAUUCCUUUGAGUUUCAGCCUUGCGGCCGUACUCCCCAGGCGGAGUGCUUAAUGGGUUUCCUUCGGCACUGAGGACUGGAAGUCCCCAACACCUAGCACUCAUCGUUUACGGCGUGGACUAC